Molecule: ribosomal RNA, 450 nt
Filed under: uncultured bacterium
Lineage: Bacteria
Description: partial 16S ribosomal RNA
Rfam family: Bacterial small subunit ribosomal RNA
Source: RNAcentral
GUGGGGAAUAUUGGACAAUGGGCGAAAGCCUGAUCCAGCCAUGCCGCGUGUGUGAAGAAGGUCUUCGGAUUGUAAAGCACUUUAAGUUGGGAGGAAGGGCAGUAAGUUAAUACCUUGCUGUUUUGACGUUACCAACAGAAUAAGCACCGGCUAACUUCGUGCCAGCAGCCGCGGUAAUACGAAGGGUGCAAGCGUUAAUCGGAAUUACUGGGCGUAAAGCGCGCGUCGGUGGUUCAGCAAGUUGGAGGUGAAAUCCCCGGGCUCAACCUGGGAACUGCCUCCAAAACUACUGAGCUAGAGUACGGUAGAGGGUAGUGGAAUUUCCUGUGUAGCGGUGAAAUGCGUAGAUAUAGGAAGGAACACCAGUGGCGAAGGCGACUACCUGGACUGAUACUGACACUGAGGUGCGAAAGCGUGGGGAGCAAACAGGAUUAGAUACCCCGGUAGUCC